RNAcentral lists this ribosomal RNA (253 nucleotides) under uncultured bacterium. RNAcentral describes it as "partial 16S ribosomal RNA". It matches the Rfam family "Bacterial small subunit ribosomal RNA", at positions 524 to 776 of the family's 1533-position model. The record is from RNAcentral.
UACGUAGGGUGCGAGCGUUGUCCGGAAUUAUUGGGCGUAAAGAGCUUGUAGGCGGUUUGUCGCGUCUGCUGUGAAAAUCCGGGGCUCAACCCCGGACUUGCAGUGGGUACGGGCAGACUAGAGUGUGGUAGGGGAGACUGGAAUUCCUGGUGUAGCGGUGAAAUGCGUAGAUAUCAGGAGGAGUACCGAUGGCGAAGGCAGGUCUCUGGGCUGACACUGACGCUCAUACACGAAAGCGUGGGGAGCAAACAGG